RNAcentral lists this ribosomal RNA (253 nucleotides) under uncultured bacterium. RNAcentral describes it as "partial 16S ribosomal RNA". It matches the Rfam family "Bacterial small subunit ribosomal RNA", at positions 524 to 776 of the family's 1533-position model. The record is from RNAcentral.
GACGGAGGGUGCUAGCGUUGUUCGGAUUGACUGGGCGUAAAGGGCGUGUAGGCGGUUGGCCCAGUCCGGUGUGAAAGCCCGAGGCUUAGCCUCGGAAGUGCAUCGGAAACUAGCCGACUGGAGCGCGAUAGAGGAGGGUGGAAUUCCUGGUGUAGCGGUGAAAUGCGUAGAUAUCAGGAGGAACACCGGCGGCGAAGGCGGCCCUCUGGAUCGUUGCUGACGCUGAGACGCGAAAGCGUGGGGAGCAAACAGG